AGCAGCCACACAUUUAAAGAGUGCGUAAUAGCUCACUGGUCGAGUGAUUUGCGCCGAAGAUGUCCGGGGCUAAACGUGACACCGAAGCGAUGGGUGCAUCUGAAAGGAUGCGCGGUAGAGGAGCAAUGUGCAGAGGCAGAAGCCGUAUCGAGAGGCACGGUGGACACUGCACAAAAGAGAAUGCCGGUAUGAGUAGCGAGAGGCAUGCGAGAAACAUGCCCGUCGAAAGCCCAAGGUUUCCUGGGGAAGGUUCAUCCGCCCAGGGUAAGUCGGGGCCUAAGCCGAGGACGGAAGUCGUAGGCGAUGGACAGCAGGUGUAGAUUCCUGCACUACCGAUGGAAUGAAGCAGUGACACAGAAGGAUAACUCGAGCAGGGUGAUGGUCAACCCUGUGCAAGCAUUGAGGUUGGGUUGUAGUGAAGUACGCAAUCCUAUAAGCUGAGAUGUGAUGCGGACCGAAAUUUCAGUAGGGAAGCGAGUGAGUUCACGCUGGCGAGAAAAGCUGCUAGUACAUCCAAAGGUACCCGUACCGGAAACCGACGCAGGUGGGCGAGGAGAGAAUCCUGAGACGAACGGGAGAACCCUUGUUAAGGAACUCGGCAAAAUGACCCCGUAACUUCGGGAUAAGGGGUGCCUGCGAGAGCAGGCCGCAGAGAAUAGUCACAAGCGACUGUUUAGCAAAAACACAGGUAUCUGCGAAAGCGAGAGCUGACGUAUAGGUGCUGACACCUGCCCGGUGCUGGAAGGUUAAGGGAACAUGUUAGAGCAAUCGAAGCAUCGAACCGAAGCCCCAGUAAACGGCGGCCGUAACUAUAACGGUCCUAAGGUAGCGAAAUUCCUUGUCGGGUAAGUUCCGACCCGCAUGAAUGGUGUAACGACUUGUGAGCUGUCUCAACAGGGGGCCCGGUGAAAUUGAAGUAUGGGUGAAGAUGCCCAUUACCCGCGACUGGACGGAAAGACCCCGUAGAGCUUUACUGCAGCCUGAUAUUGAGUUUCGGUAACUGAUGCACAGGAUAGGUGGGAGUCUGAGAGACAUGGGUUUCGGCUCAUGUGGAGACGGUGUUGGGAUACCACUCUUCGGUUACUGAAAUUCUAACAUAGCUCUGUGAAACCAGAGGAUGGACAGUGUCAGGUGGACAGUUUGACUGGGGCGGUCGCCUCCGAAAGAGUAACGGAGGCGCCCAAAGGUACCCUCAGAAUGGAUGGAAACCAUUCGAAGAGCGCAAAGGCAGAAGGGUGCCUGACUGCGAGAUUGACAAAUCGAGCAGAGACGAAAGUCGGGCUUAGUGAUCCGGCGAUAUUGAGUGGAAAAGCCGUCGCUUAACGGAUAAAAGCUACCUCGGGGAUAACAGGCUGAUCUCCCCCAAGAGUCCACAUCGACGGGGAGGUUUGGCACCUCGAUGUCGGCUCGUCGCAUCCUGGGGCUGAAGCAGGUCCCAAGGGUUUGGCUGUUCGCCAAUUAAAGCGGCACGCGAGCUGGGUUCAGAACGUCGUGAGACAGUUCUGUCCCUAUCCAUCGUGGGCGUAGGAGUCAUGAGAGGAGCUGUUCCUAGUACGAGAGGACCGGAAUGGACGCACCACUGGUGCAACUGUUGUCGUGCCAACGGCAUAGCAGGGAAGCGAAGUGCGGAUGGGAUAAACGCUGAAGGCAUCUAAGCGUGAAGCCCACCUCAAGAAUAAGACUCCACAAUAGACCCCUGGAGGACUACCAGGUAGAUAGGUCAUCGGUGGAAGCGCUGUAAGGCGUGUAGCUUGAUGAUACUAAUCGGUCGAAAGCUUC
This 1779-nucleotide ribosomal RNA is filed under the name metagenome. RNAcentral describes it as "bacterial LSU rRNA". It matches the Rfam family "Bacterial large subunit ribosomal RNA", at positions 1111 to 2925 of the family's 2925-position model. The record is from RNAcentral.